GAUGAACGCUGGCGGCGUGCCUAAUACAUGCAAGUCGAGCGAACAGACGAGGAGCUUGCUCCUUCGACGUUAGCGGCGGACGGGUGAGUAACACGUAGGUAACCUACCUAUAAGACUGGGAUAACUUCGGGAAACCGGAGCUAAUACCGGAUAAUAUUUCGAACCGCAUGGUUCGAUAGUGAAAGAUGGCUUUGCUGUCACUUAUAGAUGGAUCUGCGCCGUAUUAGCUAGUUGGUAAGGUAACGGCUUACCAAGGCAACGAUACGUAGCCGACCUGAGAGGGUGAUCGGCCACACUGGAACUGAGACACGGUCCAGACUCCUACGGGAGGCAGCAGUAGGGAAUCUUCCGCAAUGGGCGAAAGCCUGACGGAGCAACGCCGCGUGAGUGAUGAAGGUCUUCGGAUCGUAAAACUCUGUUAUUAGGGAAGAACAAACGUGUAAGUAACUGUGCACGUCUUGACGGUACCUAAUCAGAAAGCCACGGCUAACUACGUG
This 497-nucleotide ribosomal RNA is filed under the name uncultured bacterium. Its description in RNAcentral is "partial 16S ribosomal RNA". It matches the Rfam family "Bacterial small subunit ribosomal RNA", at positions 28 to 507 of the family's 1533-position model. The record is from RNAcentral.